ACUAACCCUAGCUCUACUAACUUAAAUUAUAACAAAAAAAAUUUUUUUAAAACAAACCAUUUAUAACCAUAUAAGUAUCGGAGAGAGAAACUAUAUAUAUGAAGCUAUAGAGAAAGUACCGUAAGGGAAAGAUGAAAGACAUACUUUAAAAGUAUAAUAAAGCAGAGAUUAAAACUCAUACCUUUUGCAUAAUGAAUUAGCCAGAACAACCCUAGCCAAGAGACCUUAGCUAGAAACCCCGAAACCAAACGAGCUACUCAAGAGCAAUCAACAGAACUAACCCGUCUAUGUAGCAAAAUAGUGGGAAGACUUUUGAGUAGGGGUGAAAAGCCUACCGAGCUUGGUGAUAGCUGGUUACCCACCAAAUGAGUCUCAGCUCAAUUUAAAGUUUACCAUAAAGAACUCUAACCUAAAUGUAAACUUUAAAUAUAGUCUAAAGAGGGACAGCUCUUUAGAUAAUGGAAACAACCAUAAGCAGUAAAUAACUACAACACUCAUAGAUCAUUGUUGGCCUAAAAGCAGCCACCAAUAAAGAAAGCGUUCAAGCUCAAAAUAGAAUUAAAUCUUAAUACCAAAAUUAUACAGAACAAUUUCUGCUUAACAAGUGGGUUAAUCUAUUAAAUUAUAGAAGAGAUAAUGCUAAUAUGAGUAACAAGAAUUAUUUUCUCCUAGCACAAGUUUAUAACAACCCGGAUAACCAUUGUUAGUUAACAAAAACUAAUAACAGUCAACCAUAAACCAAUUAGACACAAUAUGUUAACCCAACACAGGAGUGCUUUAAGGAAAGAUUAAAAGAAAUAAAAGGAACUCGGCAAACAAAAGCCCCGCCUGUUUACCAAAAACAUCACCUCUAGCAUUACAAGUAUUAGAGGCACUGCCUGCCCAGUGACUAGAGUUAAACGGCCGCGGUAUCCUGACCGUGCAAAGGUAGCAUAAUCACUUGUUCCUUAAUUAGGGACUAGAAUGAAUGGCCAAACGAGGGCUUAACUGUCUCUUAUUUCCAAUCAGUGAAAUUGACCUCCCCGUGAAGAGGCGGGGAUAUUAAUAUAAGACGAGAAGACCCUAUGGAGCUUUAAUCUAUUAACUUAUUUACAUACUAAUAACAAUCUCAUGAAUCUAAAACAUAGUAGAGUAAGUUAAAGAUUUAGGUUGGGGUGACCUCGGAGAAUAAAAAAACCUCCGAAAGAUUUUAACCUAAACCAACAAGUUGAAGUAAUGCAUUAUUAUUCAAUUGAUCCAAUUAUUUGACCAACGGACCAAGUUACCCUAGGGAUAACAGCGCAAUCCUAUUCAAGAGUCCAUAUCGACAAUUAGGGUUUACGACCUCGAUGUUGGAUCAGGACAUCCUAAUGGUGCAGAAGCUAUUAAAGGUUCGUUUGUUCAACGAUUAAAGUCCUACGUGAUCUGAGUUCAGACCGGAGCAAUCCAGGUCGGUUUCUAUCUAUAUACAAUUUCUCCCAGUACGAAAGGAUCAGAGAAAUAAAGCCUCUCUCACUAAGACGCUUUAAAUAUUAAUAUAUGAAUUUAUCUUAAUAUAAAAUUAUGUACAACUUAACCCAAGAUAAGGGUAA
RNAcentral lists this ribosomal RNA (1571 nucleotides) under Oligoryzomys stramineus. RNAcentral's name for it is "16S ribosomal RNA". It matches the Rfam family "Bacterial large subunit ribosomal RNA". Lineage: Eukaryota; Metazoa; Chordata; Mammalia; Rodentia; Cricetidae. The record is from RNAcentral.